Long non-coding RNA from Centrocercus urophasianus (Greater sage-grouse), 1097 nucleotides. RefSeq lists it as uncharacterized. The record is from RefSeq and is a predicted model, not a curated record. The transcript has 4 exons. Lineage: Eukaryota; Metazoa; Chordata; Aves; Galliformes; Phasianidae.
GGGAGACAGCCUAUUUCAUUCUGAAAGCAUCUCUCACCAUUCAAAGGAAGAAGAGGAAGUCUAAGUGAAUAAAAGGUUGGAUUUGUUCAGCAGUCUGGACAAAAAUUUAUGCUGAAUCCUGAAAUACUCAAGAAAUCCUGAAAACUGACCUUUCAGUACUCUGCUACAUUGAUCUUUCACGGCCAUGGUCCCAUGUGUCAAUGUAAGACAAGAGGUUUCCUGGGACAGCGUUUUCAGCAAAUUGUUUUCUUAGACCAAAUGCAGAGAGACACAUUCCUCAGCAGCUCUGUGUGCAAGAUGCAAAAGACACUGAUAACAUGUGGAAAAAUUUGAAAACACAUCUGUGAUCCACAAAUUAGAAUCAAAGUUCCCCAAGACAUGGAAUCCUAGUCUGCUUAACUGAGCCACAAAAUUUGGCUCACCUGGAUGUUGUGUUUCAGCCCACCCCUCUCUGCUGCUUAGCUAAUAAGGAAGCGUGUGCCUCUUUUGAGUCCUAGUGUUUUAUUUCUUGCAUGAAUGAAACCGAUCCUCAGAAUUUAGGAGUGCCACGUUGUAACUGGAACAGGGUUUAAAAAGGAGAGUCCUAAUUCAUUGUGAGUUAGUUGAAAGUCUUUUUAGGGGAGAUAAUCAAAUAUAACUCAGCAAUAUUUUGCAGUGAAAGAAACACCAUCAAAAGUAACACUUGGACAAUUUUUUUUCAUAUUGCGGUUCUGAUUGUCUUUUUUAAAACAUCACAGAGUACUUAAAGGACCGUGACAGAUAAAUGCAGUCUUUAAAACUACUCAUGCAUUCUUAAUGGACAGCUUGUUAAUUUGAGGUCUAGGUCAUGAAUUUGAAUGCCACUCACUAAACACUUCUUUGUCAACAAAAGCUAGUUUUCCCUUAGGGUAAAUUGUAACUCAUUAAUUGUAAUUAAAUUAAACAUAUGCGACAACUAGAAAACCUAGAAUACAUUCAGUGAGGAACACUGGUACAGCAAUCUGUGGCUGAGUUCUGGGAUGUUCAGGUUUUUUGCCAGUGAGAAGAAAAUAAAGAUCUGUAACUUAAUGAUAGCCUCAAUAAAGAUGGCAAGAAACUAUCUUGCCUAUUUAAAAAUU